UCCAAUAGCGUAUAUUAAAGUUGUUGCAGUUAAAAAGCUCGUAGUUGGAUUUCUGUUAAUAAUUUAUAUAUAAUAUUUUGAAUAUUUAUAUAACAUUAACAUAAUUCAUAUUACUAUAUUUUUUAGUAUAUGAAAUUUUACUUUGAGAAAAUUAGAGUGCUUAAAGCUGGCAAUUGCCUUGAAUACUCCAGCAUGGAAUAAUAUUAAAGAUUUUUAUCUUUCUUAUUGGUUCUAAGAUAAGAAUAAUGAUUAAUAGGGACAGUGGGGGGGAUUUGUAUUUAACAGUCAGAGGUGA
This 295-nucleotide ribosomal RNA is filed under the name Cryptosporidium parvum. RNAcentral describes it as "partial small subunit ribosomal RNA". It matches the Rfam family "Eukaryotic small subunit ribosomal RNA", at positions 590 to 914 of the family's 1831-position model. Lineage: Eukaryota; Apicomplexa; Conoidasida; Eucoccidiorida; Cryptosporidiidae. The record is from RNAcentral.